RNAcentral lists this long non-coding RNA (418 nucleotides) under Nicotiana benthamiana. RNAcentral describes it as "long non-coding RNA (NBEN_LNC013632)". The record is from RNAcentral. Lineage: Eukaryota; Viridiplantae; Streptophyta; Magnoliopsida; Solanales; Solanaceae.
UUGGAACAUCAAAAGUUUCAAUAUUAAUUUCACUUUCAGAAACAGCCACAGACACACUGGAAACUUCUGAGGAAACAUCAACAGGAGCGGUUUCAGUUGGGAUUGAAGUGUUAGAUUUAUUGAGGGGAGCAAGAGUCACGGAAGCUUCAGCUUCCACAGAUUAUCAUAGAAGUUUAACACUCGGGAGCAAGAAUUGCAACAUUUUCAACUUCGAUUGCCAUAGCAACGACCUCUUCAUUUAAAGGAUCUUCAGCCACGGGAGCUUCAUUUGCCGGAAAAGGAAAGUCAAGUGGUUGUUGGAUCAUCUUAAUGGUUUUCAAAACUUUGGCCAACUCUGAGUUUAAAUCAAAGUUUUCUUGACUAGCCUCAAUUAAAGUAUCACGACGAGAGUUUAGAAAAGCCCAACUCACCUCUAUGU